CUGCCGCCCGAGUGGUGAUCGAUUUUAUUGAGCCUAAAGCGUCCGUAGCCGGACUAGUAAACCCUUGGGUAAAUUGGGCAGCUUAACUGUCCAAAUUCCGAGGGGACUGCUAGUCUUGGGACCGGGAGAGGUCAGAGGUACUCAAGGGGUAGGGGCUAAAUCCUGUAAUCCUUUGGGGACCACCAGUGGCGAAGGCGUCUGACUAGAACGGAUCCGACGGUAAGGGACGAAACCCUGGGGCGCGAACCGGAUUAGAUACCCGAGUAGUCC
This 270-nucleotide ribosomal RNA is filed under the name uncultured archaeon. RNAcentral's name for it is "partial 16S ribosomal RNA". It matches the Rfam family "Archaeal small subunit ribosomal RNA", at positions 477 to 747 of the family's 1478-position model. The record is from RNAcentral.